GAUGAACGCUAGCGGCAGGCUUAACACAUGCAAGUCGAGGGGUAACAUAAGGUAGCUUGCUACUUUGAUGACGACCGGCGCACGGGUGCGUAACGCGUAUAGAAUCUACCUUGUACAGGGGGAUAGCCUUUGGAAACGAAGAUUAAUACCCCAUAGUAUGUAUGACUGGCAUCGGUUAUACAUUAAAACUCCGGUGGUACAAGAUGACUAUGCGUUCUAUUAGUUAGUUGGUAAGGUAACGGCUUACCAAGACAGCGAUAGAUAGGGGUCCUGAGAGGGAGAUCCCCCACACUGGUACUGAGACACGGACCAG
Molecule: ribosomal RNA, 313 nt
Filed under: uncultured bacterium
Lineage: Bacteria
Description: bacterial SSU rRNA
Rfam family: Bacterial small subunit ribosomal RNA
Source: RNAcentral